Molecule: small RNA, 11970 nt
Filed under: Rattus norvegicus (Norway rat)
Lineage: Eukaryota; Metazoa; Chordata; Mammalia; Rodentia; Muridae
Description: uncharacterized LOC102547244
Source: RNAcentral
AUUUGCUUAAUGCUCUAACCGUGGCAAGCUUGGCUGGAAGGCAGGCUACACAUAGCAGGGAAGAGGGUAGACUCCAUGAGGAGAUGGGGCAGGAUCCAGGGUGUGGUAGCCGACUUAGAGCACACUUCCCUUGAAAAUAUGGGACAAAUAUUUAAUAACGAACAUUGGUCGGAGCCACAAGUGAGUAAAGAGCUAGAUGUUUCCAGGCGGUCGCGGGUCUCAGCGUUUGGGUAAUGGCAGCCCUCUGCUUCCAGAGCGUCUGUCCAAUUCGCAGCACAACUUCACAGGGCAGAGGGAUCAAAGUCCGAGAGUUGACAAGCCAGUAAAACUUAAGAAAGGCACCCGCGUCUCAGCCAACUGGGCUGGGAUCCACCACUAGGAUUUAGUUCUUGCAAGAGAGUCAGACUCCAACUCCGGGACAGAAGCAGAGAUGCUCUCUAUAAAGCCGUGGAGGGGAAAAACAGGCUCAGCCCUUGGAAACAUGAGCCUGGCUUCAACUCGACUCUUGGUCGCCGCCGUAUACCUGACUUGGUGAAGAAGAAAGGAAAGCAAACAUCUCCCAGCAGAAUGAUCGAGCGCAAAGCGUUCAAAACUUGCAAUUCUGACAGACAGUCCUCGAGGGAAGGUGGGGUUCAUGGUUUUUGAGGGGUUUUUGCCCAUCGUGAUAUGGGAAGGACAGAAGAGAAGUUCAGGUCAGGGUGGUCAAAGCUGCUGAUACUGCCACAGACCAGUGUGCAGAGUGGUCAGGACCCUGAGCUGGGGGAAUGGUCAAAGGCACACUCCUAGAGACCAACUUGUGCUCGCUGAUCCCUGCCUCUUGAAAGUUCCACAGCCUCUCAGAAUAGUGCCCCCUGCUGGGAAGGAAGAAUUCAAGACGUGAACCUGGCGGGUGGGGCUUGGGGGGUGGAUUUCAGAUUGAAACUAGAACAGAAGGCCCAGAAAAGGGAGGUCGGUGAGAGUCUGUAUUCUUAAUUCAGGACGGCUUACAAAUAUGACUAGUUAAUUUAUAAGAUGUAAACUAAUACUUAAAAAAAAAAGAAUUUAGCAAACCAGACAGGGAAUUUCAGGACGGCAGUGACCUUUGUGCUUGCUGAGGCAUCGUAGGCGACAGUCUGCUGGAGUCCGGGAAGCCAUCUGCAGCUAGAGGGACCCUGCAGCUAGGGGGACAAUGAGCUGUCUGUCUCCUCCUCUACCUCCAGCUCUCCCUUGAGGGUUUGCGUUGGCAGAAUCUAAGCAGGAAUUUCUGGGAAAUUUAGUUUCCAGAUGUUACAGCCCCUGUGAGUCAGGACACAGAAGGGGAAAGAGCUACCAUGGCCACGGGGCCCAAGUGAAAGACAUCAAUUAUUUUAGGGUGAUGUCAGAGAAAGUGGGUCGCAGUGGAAAUGGAGCUCGGCGAGGCCGAGUCUGGGUGGAAGGACUGUGGGGAAGCAACACCCCUGCAGACAGGAACUGUGAGACACGCUAGGCAGAGUGACAAGGAGGUUGAAAUGCCACAACCUUCGAGAGUGACAGAUGCUCUUUGUUUUAAAGAGCUCAGUAGCGUGUAUAUAGAAAAUAAAGGCACCGUGGAUGGGACAAGGGGACUGUAAGAACCUGUCCCCCACUCUUGCUGAUAGUUUGAAAGCAUUCUGUGAAAUAAAUAUUCUUCUUCCAGACUAGGCAAAAAUGAAAACGGUUAGCAUUUGGACCUCGGUGUUGGAACUGGAGGUUAGAAGGUAGAAAUGUGGGAGGGAGUUAGACCAGAAGUUGACGGAACUUGGCAAGGUGAGUAGCAGGAGGAAGGCAGGAGCAACCAGGACUCCACAGUCUGUGGGGUGCGUAGCAUUGUGAACGGGCACCAUGAAUUGAGACAUGGCCAUAAAAAAAGUCGGAGCAGUUCCCUUUGGGAUGUGUUCUGUGUUAGGAUGUGAAACUACAGACAUCAAUAAUCAAGACAGAGGUGGUGGUGUGUCGUGUCCCCCCCACCCGCUUCCUGCUGAACAUACAUGACACCUUUGCAUACAAAGGGAAGUAUAACUCUCUACGUGUGAGUUUGGCCACAGUCACAGAAAAGAACUGAUUGAUAUCUAUCAAAGAUAUUUCCCCAUCUUAUUCCCCGAUGGAGCUUGAUGCUUGAAAUCCAACACGUGGUACUUCAAACUCCUGGCUUUAAGUUAAGGCACCUUAAAGGUUUGUGCUGCCCAUCUACCUGUGGUGUGGCGUGCUGAGACUUGCUUUGUCACACGUACCCUGAAAACAAUCAGUGCAUAUACACACACUAGUGCUGCUAUAUGGCCAGAGCUCGCAGCAUGGCCUAUUACAUGAUUUUUCCAGAAAGAUGAUAACAGGCAUCACACCAGACAGGGCAUCAGUGUCAGGUCACAGAAAUUACUCUACUAAAUUCCAGCUUGAGGAACCAAGGAAUCUUUUGGGGUUAUAUACAGCAACGUAGCAAGGGGCUCCUUGAAAGAACCUGAGUGGCUUAAAAGCAGCUGUACCCCCCAAAAUGACCCACCAGAGCUUCGUCCCCGGGACUCCCCACCUAUCUCAAAGGUAACCCCUUAGAGAGUCUCGUCUUGAGCAACAAUUAAUUAUUGCUUAUAUAACCCAGAGUGGGGCCUGUCCUGUUAACUUCUGCUGUCAACCUGACAGCCCAGAGUCAUCUCAGAGAGGCUCCAUUGGGGAAUCAGAUCGAUCAAAUUGUCCUGUGGCCAUGUCUAUGAGGAAGUCUUUUAGUUGUGGAUUAUUGUCAGAGGGCACAGUCCCCUGUGGGUGGUGCCAUUCCUUAGCAGAUGGUUCUGGGCUAUCUAACAAAGCUGGCUGAGCAUGAGGGAGAGAGAGAGAGUAAACCAGCAUGCAGUGUUCCUCCAUGCAACUCUGCUCCAGAUUCCUGCCUCUCGAGAGGUCCUGCACCGGCUUCCCUCCGAGAUGAACUUCUACCUGGGAGUGUCUAUUGGAACAAACACUUCCCUCCCCAAGUUGUUUUUGGUCAUGGUGUUUAACAGAAUGACAUAAAGGAAGCUAGAGGAAGGCAUAUUCCUACUAAGUCUUGUAAGCUUCCUGGGCCUGCUAAAUUUUAUGGGUUUGUGAGUUUUGCUAGCUCCUUGUGUCUUAUGAGCUCCUGUCCUCUCUUAACUCUCCAGGAGGACAUGUUUCAGUUCGGGGGCAAUAGCUACACAGUAGUGCCCAUGAUGAGCCAGAGCUAGAAGAAUCACUGGCCCCUACAUAAAGCCCUGAUUGUCAGAGAGACAGGAGGUCUUCAUGAGUCUGGGGAAACUUGCUGUGACUUACUUUGUCCUCUGUCUUCAUAGGCUCCCUGCCUGCUCUAUCUAUUUUUUCUUCUAUUUCUUUAACAACUUGAUUGUUGAAACCCCAGGAAAUUCUAAGCCCAUUUCUCCCAUCAAAAUGAAAGGAACUUAUUGAUGAAAUCAUGAGUCCAUUAAGAUUGAGUGGUACAUCUCCAUUAGGGCCACGAUUUGCAUCAUAAAACAGAUUAACAUGAAAGGUGGAAGCACUCUUCUUGGAGAGGAAAUGCACAAAAGAAUCUUUUAGGGCCUUCCGAAUUAAAGCAGAAUAAACACUCCACCAGGCACAGAGAGAAGGCAAGGGACAGGGGGGAAGGUUUCGACAGAGCCAAGCAAGACUGAAGACCUGCAGCCACAUAAGUGGUGUGACUCAUAGCUUAGUUGUGGGUAGACAGCAGAAGCCAGGGAACAUUCGGAGCUGAAAGAAACACUCGUAUUAAACAUUCUGCUGGAGCAAGGGUUCCCACUGCAGUGUGCUUACAGAGCCCUGCUCUGAAGUAUGCCUGGGCCGGCCGUUCUCGCUACUUUAAUGGAGUUGCUGAGAACCACCCUCUUGCCCGGCUAAGAGCCUGUGGUUCUGAGUGGAUGAGAGUGCUGUUCUCCUCAACCUUCCUCAGAAUGUUGAGAGGACAGUUCUGUGACAAGAGCUUUGCCAUGUGGCCUCCCCAGGAAUCUAGAUUGUUCCGGAUGAUCAAAGGAUAAUGAAAUAAACCCUACAUUAAUAGAGCACAGGGUUCUGGGAGUGUGUUGGGGGGCGGGGAUGACGUCUUCUCUUGCCUAUCAAGCUGGUGCUGUUUGUGUGUGUAUCACUUGCUUAGCAGCAUCAAGACCUUUAGCUAAAAGGAGAGGCUGGCUUAAAGGAUUGGAGCACCCGGGGGAUUCGCUGUUUGAUGGAAACAGGUCAGAGAAAGGAGCAAGAGAAUGAUCGGCCGUCUUACUCUUCUGGUGGGGUCUCUUUGCUCAUGUGUGAGAGGCAGUUCAUGCCAGCUCACAGACAUCAAGCAGAAUUUCUUCCUAAUUCCCCCACUCAGUGACUUCAUAGGAGGUUGGCACUGGCUAGGAUAGGAAUGUUUACAUUGCCAGAAUUGGCAGAUGUCACAAACCAGGGUGUUUUUUUCUCCCCUACUGUGGUUGCCUUGUUUUCUCCCCUAGAAAAUUUAUCGUUAAAUAUUUAUCAGCAUUCUCCUGGAAUUUGAUUGAAAGAUAAUUUGGCCAUCAAAGCAGCCACACGGCCUUCUGAAACUCUGGCUGAAAGCUUUCUGAGCACAGCAAGGGUCAAACAAGUGACCGGGCGGAGCUCGGCGGAAUUUGGAAAAAGGGAAAGGAUUCUUGGAAUACACGCCUGUGUGACAUACUCACCCAUGAACACUCACCUGAGGGUCAGUGCUCACAGGGUGACAUGGUAGGCACCUCUCGAAAGUUGUAAAGGGACCUUUAGGAAUGUGGCCACGAGAUGGACACUACUUAGACAUGAUGUGGGCCUCUUUCUCAUUGGACCAGGGACUUCAGAUAAAGGAUAAGACCCAGGAGGCUGGGCCUCAGAAGGACCAAUUUACAGGGCAUUUUGAUAGUGAACCAAUUAACCUCUUCUACCUAUAGGGCUCAGACAAAAGAUAGUUGGGCUCAGGAUGCAUUCUGGGAGCACUGCCGCGUGUGGGUGGUAAUGAUGUGUCAGAAGUUCUUUUUCAGAUGGGCUAAGUAGACUCCAGUCCUAUAUGGAAUGUCCGAGGCUGUGUCAGAGAAACACAAAGGUCUCUUCUGCCUCCCUUCCUGGGUUCUAGGAUUCUUCUGAAAAGAACCCUAAUGCUAACUAGAAGGUAGAAGAGUGGAAGCCCAGACACAGAUUAAGGAGUACACAUAGGUUCGGCCACAAUGGAGAUCAGGGAGGGAGGAUCUUCAACAAACUAAGAAAGAACCAGUGUAUGGCCCACUACAGCGUGUCCAGGUUAUUUACCUGAGGGACCGUAAGCCAACCUAUCACCCUGUGAACACUGCUGUGAGUUCACAAUUAUGGCUGAGUUAUGUACGGAAGCAAGAGAAGCGUCCGUCAACAAAUGACAGGGUUAAAUGGAGUGUGUGUGUAUAACGAAACUUUAGUCAGCUCUAAGGAAGAGCAGAAUCAUGCUGUUUGUUGAAGAACGGGUGUGACAGAAACUAACUAUAUGAAAUAAGUCAGCAAGAUAAGUGUCACACAUUUUUAGUCCUUUUGCACAUCCUUGGGUACACACACACACACAACACACCCUCACACACACUAAGGAAAAAAAAACUGGCUUCGAAGGACAAAAGGAGGCUACGAAAGGAAACAUAUUUGUUCGACUUUGAGGAAGAAGCCGAUUUGUCUGAAGGAGUCUGGGGACAGCCCUGCCUUUGUCUGAUAAGCCCUCUCUGCAAGUCCCUGUAAGCCAUAUGUGUUUAAGAUGUAGAGGAUCAGCUCAGGGGAUCAGCGCACAGCCCUGGAAGCGUUAGCAUGCGCUUCCUACUUUAAGCAGCUGUCUGGCAAAAUGGUCUGUCACUGUCAUAGGGCAGCCGAGCAUGAGAGUGCUUUGACAGUGCGAGUCUGUCUCAAUCCUUCCACCCAAACUCAAAGGAACGUCUUCCCAAAGGCCGAGGGCAGCCAUUCUUUGCAGCGGGAGUAAGCUCGGCUGAUGGCUUAAUCUGGAAGCCAAUUGGCUUUCAAGGAGACAUAACUCACUCCAUAUUUAGAGAAACGUUUGGAGUCUAUUGGGACUGCUUCGGGAGGGGAUUUGAAAACUUUGAAAAGGAACCUGAUAUGAACACUGACCGACUGGAAGACCUUCUGUCUUUCACAAGUGGGCACGUACCUGGCAGCCCUUGCUGGCUUGGCUUCAACUCCUAGAUCCCGGAUCAUGGAAGCCCUGGAGGGUCUGGCAGUUGGUUCCGGAGUCAACAAGAAGCAGGCAGCCACCACCAACCUAGAAGUAUUAUCAUGGUUUAACAGCAAUCCAAGCAAUGUCUCUGCUCCUGAAAUGGAACCUGGGCCUUGUUGGACGACGUGGGACAAAGGAGAGAGGCAGGUCCACUGUGGGGUCUGUCUGUGUUUAUAUGGUUGGCAGAGCGCGCUUUGAUGUCACCCUGAUGACGUCUGUCAUCUUCCCCACACCUGCUAUGGCAUGGCUGCCUUCAGUCACAAGCCUGAUUCACAGCACACUCUAUGUUUAGCAGCGCUCUGAGAAGGAUUCCAGUCUGCCUUCAGCCCUAAAUAGCUACAAAUAUCAGAGUAGCAGCGGCAGCCCUUCAAAGGCCUUUUUGGGAAGUGUCAUGCCAGAGAUGGGGUGACACAGAGGAGCCCCAGAAAGAAGCAAGAUGUCACCUGGAAACUGGAGGGAAAAAGAAGAAAUGAACCAGCGUCGACUGCUAAGAAGGUGAAGAAAUGAACCAGCGUCGACUGCUAAGAAGGUGAAGAAAUGAACCAGCGUCGACUGCUAAGAAGGUGAUAAAGUUGACCAUCUGUUCCUCAGGGCACCUGGACACUCUGCUCAUGAGAAUGCAAUACCCAACAUGAGUCAAGAAAGCCCAAAGACGUCCACCCUGAUCUGGUGAUAGAUGACACCUGACCUCCUUAGCCAAUAUGCAGACUGAGACUGUAUCUGGCAGAGUUUCUGGCUGCAGAACCCUUGACCGUCAGAAGUGAAUGAAAGUUUGGUAAGCUGUGCUGGAGCACUGCCAGUGUGCGGUGCUGUGAGCCGCCCUCACAGGAUUUCAGGGAAGAACUGUGGGGAGGAGGCACUGAAUGCCUUAGAUGCAGCGGGGAGAAAACCCUUCCUCCUACACCCUUAAAACAGAGCGAAAGGAAACAAAAUAAUAAAACUAAUAACAAAAUAACAAAAUAAUACCCCCCCACAAGCUACACCCUUACUUUUCUGGUCUCACCUGCUGCUUUCCUUAGGAGAUAGUUUCAAUGGAAAAGAUUCUAAAGUUCAUGUGUUCGAAAGCUUCUUGACCUUGCAGUUGGCGAUGAUCUUUGGGGGGUUAUGGAACUGUGGCUGGGGUCACUGGGAGCCAGGUCUUUGGGGUCACAGCUCUGCCCUAUUUUUGGACCCAGUCUCUCUGUGUGUCAUCUGUCAAGAAGUGAGCAAGCUCUCCUACACUCCUUCUGCUCUGGUUCACCUCCACCAAUACCCGUACUCUCAACCCAGGGGUGAAAAUUCCUUUCUCCUUCAGUGUGCUUCUUCCUGGGCAUUUGGUAGCAGCAAUUUCAAAAGCUAAGCUACCUUACUAGUAUGAGCUUCAGUGGUUUACACCAGGUAGGUCGAGGGAAAGGUAAAACUUGGGAUUUGCUCAAAACAUGGCCACACACACACACACACCUGAUGCUCGACACACACAGCCAGGCACACCUGAUGCCAGAAAGGGUGAGGUGGGGAUGUCAGAAAGUCCUGGGAGGAACCCAGGCUGUGUUCUAGGCACAUAUCUAUAGCUCAUAGUUUGUGUGUUCUUGGAAGACACAGAAGUAUUAUAAACUCGUAAAUAGAAUUGCAUAAGACUGUACUCAUGACAUAAAUGAUUCCUCACACGAGCGAACCAAGAAAGCCCAAAGAUGUCUACCCUGAACUGCAGAUAAAACAUCAUCAGACCUCCUUAGUUAGACGCCGCUGACACACAUUCGGAGAUCUUAUCCGGCAGAGUUUCCAGGCGUACGGAAGGUGGAUUGAGUUCAGGAUGAAUGAACUAUUGAACAGUGGAGCUCAGGGAGUGGGCGAUGGAUUAGUGGACAAAAAUAGCCCUGGACACCUGUGUAAAUCCUUGGUGAUCUGAUCUACGCCAUAAAAACCAGACAGUGGGCAUCUGUAACUCAUAAUAAGUCCUUUCUAACAUCACUGAGGUUAUCUUAAAGAGCCUCUUGGUGCUCCCCUCCCCCAUAGCUUUAGAGUGGGGCCAGGCUGCUAACUGCGCCAACGCUGCAUUUGGAGGGCUGUGACUUGCAGCCUGACCUCCUGGAACUGAGUGGAGCAGCAAUCAACAAUGACUUUGUAAGCUGAUCCCUGCUACAGACCGUACAAAAUCCUCAACGGGGAGAGCUGCUUACCUACAGAGGUCACAGGAGCUCUGUGCUCACCACCCCUAAUGCCCGUGUUCCUUGAAGUUGGCUGUUCCUGAGUUGUAUCUUUUGAAGUGAACUGACAUUGAUUCCUUUGGAAACUUGGAUGGCAUCGUUUAAUCUGUGGAGUGGGAAAAAGGAGACGAAGGAAGGAAGAGGAGAGGAGACCAUAAACCUCGCUGAGAGCUCACUGGAUCCGGGAAGUUGCUAAUAAAAACCCAGGCGGGGAUGGCACCUGCAGACAACUCACUCUACCUAGCCGUCAGAGCUGGCCUGGAAGAACAAAGGCUUUCUGGGGAGCUGCAAAUCACACAUUGAUCUUGCCCGAGAGUAUCUUUCCUUAGCGAUGAGAAGCUGGAAUAAAACGAAGUGGAAUGAAAAGCGGCAAGCAGAGGCCCUGAAGACUCCCACAGAAAUCCUGGUUCUGCAGAUUUACCUGUGCCGUGGGACCCACCUGUGUGGGACGAGGCACUUCUUGUUGAGCGUUCUGCUGCUCCAGAGUGCUUCAGCAUUACGUGUGGAAAGCAGAGACUUGAGGAAAAAUCAGUCAAACGAGAGCAUUGCAUAACUCGGACCACUGGAAAAUCCAUUCCCCCUUUAGGCAUCCCAAUGAGGGCAGUAACAACUAAGCAUGUUCCGGCUGUCGUGCUUACUCUAAUGCUGGCACUGGGGAGGAGAGGAGGCAAGUGCAUCCUAGGAGUUUGCUAGCAAGUGAGCCAGCUUCACCCCCUCACGCCACUCCCGGUUGCUAGAAUAGGAGGGCCUCUCCCAGAAUACUCCACACAACAGAUGGUUGAUCUACACCAGGAAACACCCAAAGAAGAAGACCAAGGCCACCACAGGCGGCAACUUGCCUACUCACCAGGGUCCAAGGAAGACCUCCAUCCCAUGGUGGGUAGAGUCCACAUGUGGGUCUCUGGGCUCUCUUCUCUGGUCUUCCUGUCCUCGUUGCUUUACUAAGGGAGACCUGUGAGCAACAGUGUUUUAACGCACGUUAUAGACGACACCGGAGUGUGGCUCUCACCAAAGCGUGUGCCUGACGUGAAGUGUGCCAGACUCCACGAGAAGUGUGUCUGGGCCAACUGACAGCAGUGGCUCUGGCUUUGACACGGCUCUCAGCACUCCCAUUCUGUUCCGAGAGGCCAGGAAGCAGAUGGAGAGAGAAUAAGCAAUGCAGUGGGAUGUCUACAUCUUGGCAGUCAGUUCACGGCGAGCUAUGUUUCUCAAGCUAUUAAGAUACAUGAUGCUACCUGUACAUUUAAUCUCUAAUCAAGUAUGUAAUUUUUUUAUUGCCUAGGGUAUGUCUAUGCAGUUGAAAGCAAAAACCUGUGUUCUAUCUUUAAAGAAAAAAUAAAACAACAACAAUAACAACCACAACACCCCUGUAAAAUCAAGAGAGAGGGAGCAAGAAGUUGGGUGGGUGGUGAGGUGGGGGAGAAUCGGGGAACAAUGGAGGAGGAAAACAAUAUAAUCAAAACAUACUGUAUGGAAAUUAAAUGUCCACCCUGCUCCUUGUGAAGUUUGCUUCCUUCACAGUGAUGUGAAGGGAACAGUGAUAUGCUUCCCCAAGGGGCACGAAGGAGAGGUGCUCUGAGAAAGUGACAUAAACAGGGAAGAUUUUUCUUCUUUGUAGAGAAGGGCGUUAGAGUACAGCAUUGUGAGAUUGCUCAGUGUGUGCACAGAGUACAGCAUUGUGAGGUUACUCAGUGUGUGCACAGAGUACUGCAUCAUCAGAUUACUCAGUGUGUGCACAGAGUACUGCAUUGUGAGAUUACUCAGUGUGUGCACAGAGUACUGCAUUGUGAGAUUACUCAGUGUGUGCACAGAGUACAGCAUUGUGAGAUUACUCAGUGUGUGCACAGAGUACAGCAUUGUGAGAUUACUCAGUGUGAGCACAGAGUACUGCAUUGUGAGAUUACUCAGUGUGAGCACAGAGUACUGCAUCAUCAGAUUACUCAGUGUGAGCACAGAGUACUGCAUCAUCAGAUUACUCAGUGUGUGCACAGAGUACUGCAUUGUGAGAUUACUCAGUGUGUGCACAGAGUACUGCAUUGUGAGAUUACUCAGUGUGUGCACAGAGUACUGCAUCAUCAGAUUACUCAGUGUGUGCACAGAGUACUGCAUCAUCAGAUUACUCAGUGUGAGCACAGAGUACUGCACUGUGAGAUUACUCAGUGUGUGCACAGAGUACUGCAUUGUGAGAUUACUCAGUGUGAGCACAGAGUACUGCAUUGUGAGAUUACUCAGUGUGUGCACAGAGUACAGCAUUGUGAGAUUGCUCAGUGUGUGCACAGAGUACUGCACUGUCAGAUUGUUCAGUGUGUGUCAAACCAGCUUUAGCAGCACUGAGAGAGAACUGACUUCAUUAACACUGGAGAUCUUGGAGACAGAUCAAGUACUCCUAUGCAGGGCAACACAAGGCACUGCAUUGAAGGAAGUCUUCCAAGAGCAGAGAAAUUCUCUCCUGGACACUACUUCCACAGAAUUUUCAGAUAGUUCCAUUUAACUUCCAAGUUCGUUGAUCAACUGUCAUGGGGAGAAGGGAUAGACGUCACGGAGCAUUGUGUCAUUAACAUUCGUUGCUGAAGAAGACUGGGAAGCAAUUCUAAAUUUGCAGCAGCCACGAGGUCCAUGGGCAGAGGUGGACAGAAGUGAGGACUGUCCAAAUGGUGGACUGCUUUGAGCAAGUGAAUGAGUCGUUGCAACUCCACAACUGGGUACGAUAAAAACGCUUCCAUAAACAAUGUAAAAUCAACUGGGUAAGGCGUAAUCCCAUUUAUUUACAGUUCAAAAAUAAACAAAGCGAGUCGCUGACAUCUGAAGUGAGAAGAGAUACCCGCCAUGGGCGAGCUUAGUGAAGAUUCAGCUUCAGGCGUUAGGGAUGGUUUCGUCCCUGAUGGGUUGUUGGUUACGAGCACAUGUUUGUUCUCCACGAGCAUACAUUUUAUUUCUGAGUCGUGUAUAUUUUUUUCUUCAUCCUGAAUCAGCAAAACAGUUACAAGCAAGCAAUGUCAACAUAGUUUCUUUUGCAUGUAUUAAAGUUUGGACCGUUCAGUCAAUCGUUUAAAGGACUAGGUAUGUGGGAGGAAGUGGCCCACAAAGGCUGAAGAGUUAAGUAUUUAAAGACUCAGAAUUACUUGAGAUAGUGAAAAAACGUUAGAGAGAAAAAUUUGAGCUUGGCUUCGUAGUCUAAAUUUCUUUGUCAGUAAAAACCUUCAUUUGUGGUAAAAUUUGGGCAGGGGAGUAAUGGUAUUUGAUAAGGGGUGGGGAAGAAUGUGAACUCAAAAUUAUAACCCAUUUUCUUUCUUUUUAACAUUUUCAGGUCAACACCAAACGUUUAGGUUCUGUGUGAUCAAAAUAGAAGGUCUUCACGUAUAUGGACCUGUCCUCCGCUAAGAUGUAAUUAUCAGUUGAUCAGGUUGAAAGACGGCUGAGUAGAUCCGGCACUAACAACAGAAUCAUCACACCAUGGAGAAACAAAUGUUCUAACAAUGUUCAUAACUCUACACGAUCCUUUCCUUUUUCACCACAAUCUAUGCUUCCCCAUCUGGCAGACAAGUAUGGAUCCCUUUCAACAUGGUAGGUAACAUUCCAGAUUGGAUAAUAAAAGUCUCUGUGGGAGAA